RNAcentral lists this ribosomal RNA (450 nucleotides) under uncultured bacterium. Its description in RNAcentral is "bacterial SSU rRNA". It matches the Rfam family "Bacterial small subunit ribosomal RNA", at positions 354 to 796 of the family's 1533-position model. The record is from RNAcentral.
GUGGGGAAUUUUGGACAAUGGGCGCAAGCCUGAUCCAGCAAUGCCGCGUGAGUGAAGAAGGCCUUCGGGUUGUAAAGCUCUUUCAGUUGAAAAGAAAAAGCCGUGACUAAUAAUCAUGGUUCAUGACGGUAUCAACAGAAGAAGCACCGGCUAACUACGUGCCAGCAGCCGCGGUAAUACGUAGGGUGCAAGCGUUAAUCGGAAUUACUGGGCGUAAAGGGUGCGCAGGCGGUUCUGUAAGUCAGAUGUGAAAUCCCCGGGCUUAACCUGGGAACUGCGUUUGAAACUGCAGAGCUAGAGUGCGGCAGAGGGAGGUGGAAUUCCAUGUGUAGCAGUGAAAUGCGUAGAGAUAUGGAAGAACAUCGAUGGCGAAGGCAACCUCCUGGGCUAGCACUGACGCUCAUGCACGAAAGCGUGGGGAGCAAACAGGAUUAGAAACCCCAGUAGUCC